This 2143-nucleotide long non-coding RNA is filed under the name Marmota monax (woodchuck). The stretch from base 1 to 71 matches the Rfam family "mir-31 microRNA precursor family", at positions 10 to 83 of the family's 83-position model. Lineage: Eukaryota; Metazoa; Chordata; Mammalia; Rodentia; Sciuridae. The record is from RNAcentral.
GGAGGCAAGAUGCUGGCAUAGCUGUUGAGCUGAGAACCUGCUAUGCCAACAUAUUGCCAUCUUUCCUGUCUGACAGCAGCCUGGCCUUCUGCACACCAUUCUUCCUCGUCUUGCUGCAGAUACGUGCCCUUCUAUGGAUGUGGGUUUUCUUGAUAUACCACCUUCCCACCGUGUACUGGGACACUCGCCCUGUUCUGGCCAUGUUGACCUUUUUGGUUAUUCUUGGAUUCCACUGAGGAUGUUCCUGCCUCUUAGUUUUCUUUCUCUCAUCAUUGGAGUCUCAGCAGGGACUCACAUCUCAGAGAAGCCUUCCUUAAUUACACUGUCUGUCACAGCUGUCAUGUACCCCAUCUUCCUCCUCCCAUUACGCUGUGGUACCUUCAGAAUCCUAGGUCACUCACUGAAUGUGUCUGUUCUCGUGUUUGCUAUCCUGUUUCUUGCACUAGAAUAUGAAUUCCUCAAGGUUAGGGUUUGUCUAUUGACCCAUUGUAUCCCCAGCACCAGACACCUAGUAAGCCUUCAGUACGUGUGUUUGAAACUCCAAAGGAAUUUUAUUCUACAAUAGAGGGGUCAAGGAGUUACAUUUUUCAUGUUACCAAUGGCUUUGAUGUAACUCUGGCUCACAGGUAAUAAAGAAAUAAAGAGAUGAUGUUGAGUUCUUGGCCAGCAAGCCGAACACCUUAAAGCAGUCAAAAUAAAUGCUUUGUGGGGUCCACAGACCCAAGGCAGUAAGCAUAUUAUAAUGGAAAAGGCAUCAGUUUCAAAAUAAAAAUUUCUGUUCCAGUCUCCCCACUGGUGUUUUCCUGCAGGUCCUCAGACAAGUCACUUAGCCUCUGAGCCACUGUUUUAUCAGUUGUUAAAAGAAAAUAUUGAUACCAACUCCACAGGAUUCUUGCAAGGGAUAUUUUAACCAGAAGGUUUUUACCUUGCAUCUAAAAGCAUGUCUAUAAAAUUUCUGAUAUAUAUGCACUAAUAAACAUCCCACAAAUUUUAAGUAUUUUACUUUCUAGAAAUUUUUUUUUCUUCAGUUAGAAACAGAUAAUUUUAAGUAUGUCAAAACUGUAGUACAUGUAGAACUCUGUAUGAGACAAAGAAAUCUGGAGCAACCAAGGAGUUAAGAAGGAUUUCAAAUUCUUCUUCUGGUUAGUUCACACUCUUCACCUUCUUUAUUUCUAAAGUUACUCAUUGUCGGGCUAGGGUUAUAGCCCAGUGGUUGAGCGCUUGCCUCGCAUGUGUGAGGCACUAGGUUUGAUCCUCAGUGCUACAAAAAUAAAUAAAUAAAACAAGAUAUUUUGUCCAUCUAUAACUUAAAAAAAUAUAUUUGUUUAAACAGUCACUCAUUGUGGACUUCUGACCUUUAAAGAUUCACUUUCUUACAGAGUAAGAGUACUUGAUAGGGAGUUGGAUGGUAGAGCACUUGCCUAGCAAGUGUGAGGCACUGGCCUCAAUUCUCAGCACCACAUAUAAAUAAAUGAAUAAAAUAAAGGUUCAUCAACAUCUAAAAAUUUUUUUAAAAAAAGAGUAUAAAACUCUGCUUUUAACAAACUAAAUUUAUGUUAAUUUUGAUGCUUUUCUAAGAAACAGAAAAAUGAUCAUACUUCUCAACUGAUACUAUUUAUUGUUACUCUGGGUAUUAGAACUGUAAUAUUCAGAAAGUGCUGGUUAUAUCUUUAUUUCAUACUUCUGAAAGUACAUCAAGUGAAGUUGUUCAUUUAACAAAAUUGUAAAGCUCAACACUGUGACAAUUUUAGUCUAUAGCUUUUGUAAGUGUUCUGUGUUAGGAGCCAUCCAUGGGCUGUGUGUGUGAGCUAUGCGCAUUUGAGUGUAUGAGGGGACUGGUCUGGCGUUGCUUGCUGAUUGGGCUGUGCAAAGCAAAUGUGCCUUUUCUCGCACUCUGCCUGUGAUCCCGCACAGCACCUGAGAUGGGUGUGAUUUGCCAAGGUGUCAAUCAAUCUGCUGACCACAGGACAUCACCAAGAAAGACUCUACCUUCGAAACCCUACCCCUUGCCUUAUUUGGGUGGAAUCUUCUAUCGAAAGUCUUCUCCCCAAUAAAUAUGGGGGUUUCGGGUGUGCUCGCUCUCUUGCCUCUUGCUCUUUCCAGCACUGCCCAGUGUGGAGCUGAGGUGAGGUCACAGAGCCAA